Molecule: ribosomal RNA, 387 nt
Filed under: uncultured bacterium
Lineage: Bacteria
Description: bacterial SSU rRNA
Rfam family: Bacterial small subunit ribosomal RNA
Source: RNAcentral
AAUGGACGCAAGUCUGACCCAGCAACGCCGCGUGAAGGAAGAAGGCUUUCGGGUUGUAAACUUCUUUUAAGGGGGAAGAGUAGAAGACGGUACCCCUUGAAUAAGCCACGGCUAACUACGUGCCAGCAGCCGCGGUAAUACGUAGGUGGCAAGCGUUGUCCGGAUUUACUGGGUGUAAAGGGCGUGCAGCCGGGCAGACAAGUCAGAUGUGAAAUCCUGAGGCUCAACCUCAGGACUGCAUUUGAAACUGUAUGUCUUGAGUAUCGGAGAGGUAAUCGGAAUUCCUAGUGUAGCGGUGAAAUGCGUAGAUAUUAGGAAGAACACCAGUGGCGAAGGCGGAUUACUGGACGACAACUGACGGUGAGGCGCGAAAGCGUGGGGAGCAAA